This 1723-nucleotide long non-coding RNA is filed under the name Salmo salar (Atlantic salmon). Its description in RNAcentral is "lncRNA (ENSSSAG00000116273.1)". The record is from RNAcentral. Lineage: Eukaryota; Metazoa; Chordata; Actinopteri; Salmoniformes; Salmonidae.
GGGCUCUGUUGCAAUAUCCAUCACUCGGAGUGAAGCAAUGUGUUGGGCAUGCAUUCUCAAUGGUGUGUGUGUGUGUAGCAUCCGCAGCAGAAUGAAUGGUCAACUCUCAAACUGAUGGUUCAUGAAAGUUUAAUGCGGUACCAUUUCCAUAAACACACCGUAAGACCUGAUGGAGAAACAAACCAAAAAUGCUCUUAUAAUACGAAACAAUACAGUCCACAGACAACACACUUUUACACAACUUUACAUUAGCGUGCUUCAUACAUCAAAUGCAUCAAUAUGCAUGAGAAUGUCUACCCCAAAUAGUCGAUUACGUGCUAAUUGCUUACUAAUGUGGCGCAAGAUUAACUAAUAUAUUAGCCAGCGCAAACAGUGGAGCUAGGCUACAGCUAAUAACGUCAUAUUGCUAGCAGACUUCAGAACAUCAGUUACAACACAAAUAUCCAUUCAGUAUACGUUCAAAAUAAUUAGAAACAUUUGAAAUAAGACCAAUAUUUAAAAACAGUAAAUACCUUGCUCUCUUUCCAGCUAGGUGCUAAGUUUGACGUUGUUUUCUUGCAUACUUGAACAACCUUCACAGAAAGUAAUUUUUCCUUUCUCUCCCGCGCCCGUUUCCCAUAUACCCUUUAACCUUGUAUCAGAGAAGGCACAAAAAAUAAACUGCUGUCAAAAUAAGUCACACUAAACUGUCAAAUAUACAGUGAGGUUUGAAAGAUAAUAAAAAUUAAAAAAAAACGAGCCCAAAUAUUGAGCAGAUAUUGUGAUCUGGCACUCGUUUUUAGGGGUUCAUUUACAGUGUGCUAGAAUGGACAUUGGGACGUAAGCUGGAGUUUGUUCAUAUUUAGUUACAUAUUUCUAAAGAGAACAUGUCUACAGGUCUGUAUCCUUUAUGUACAUUAUUGGAGAUCUACGUCCAUGGAUGUAACACGUACCAAUAAAUGUUGUUAACCAAUGAGGAACGUUGAGAUAUGAGGGAAAACUGUGACUUACAGCAUUCCUCUGAUGUGAACUCUAGCACAUGUGCAAACAUUGAAUUGGACUUUGUGUAAAUACUGUAUUGCUUACAUGUAAAUAAGAAAGUGUAUUUCCUAAUGCCUGAUUCUUUUGCAAAACUGUGUGGUAUGUUUUAACUUGUUCUUCAUCACUUGAAUUCACUGGUAGGAUUUUUAUGUCAUGAUUAUUUACAUGUCUUAGGAAAGAGAUGAUCGAUUAAAACUCUGACCCCUUCUGGUGGCAUUUUCUCAACAAUGCAUAAUAUUGUAUACUACCCUCAGAAAGUAAAUUUAGCUUUCAAAACUAUAAGUCCUACAAACUCAUACUUAGUACUGUUAGAAAGUUAAGAAAGGAGUCAGAAACAAUGUGAAUACUACAGAGCCCGAGAUGCAGCAGGCCCCAAAAAUGCUGAAAUUUACCAAAACAAAUUCUGGGGUUGGGGGUCCCCCCAAUUGUCCCCAUGUUGGGGAAUAAGAGAUUUGAAAGGUGUGAUAUAGAAUAUGUCACCAAUAACUGUUACAAAAUGUAAAAAACAAAUUUCACAGAUCUUUUACCUAAUGGUGGCACUUUAAACAUGGAAAUUCUUAUUGGAACACAGACACUAAAAGGGCAGGGCAUGUGCUACAUUCUUACAGGAAUUAUAUAUAUAUGUGACCGACCGGCUCGAUUCGGUCUUUAUGUAGCAAAGUUUGAAAUUGUGUUUUUACAUUGGAUAAAAGGAGAGACUCAG